CUACGGGGUGCUGCAGUGGGGAAUAUUGCACAAUGGGCGCAAGCCUGAUGCAGCCAUGCCGCGUGUAUGAAGAAGGCCUUCGGGUUGUAAAGUACUUUCAGCGGGGAGGAAGGGAGUAAAGUUAAUACCUUUGCUCAUUGACGUUACCCGCAGAAGAAGCACCGGCUAAGUCCGUGCCAGCAGCCGCGGUAAUACGGAGGGUGCAAGCGUUAAUCGGAAUUACUGGGCGUAAAGCGCACGCAGGCGGGUUGUUAAGUCAGAUGUGAAAUCCCCGGGCUCAACCUGGGAACUGCAUCUGAUACUGGCAAGCUUGAGUCUCGUAGAGGGGGGUAGAAUUCCAGGUGUAGCGGUGAAAUGCGUAGAGAUCUGGAGGAAUACCGGUGGCGAAGGCGGCCCCCUGGACGAAGACUGACGCUCAGGUGCGAAAGCGUGGGGAGCAAACAGGAUUAGAUACCCUCGUAGUC
Molecule: ribosomal RNA, 464 nt
Filed under: uncultured bacterium
Lineage: Bacteria
Description: partial 16S ribosomal RNA
Rfam family: Bacterial small subunit ribosomal RNA
Source: RNAcentral